GCAUAUCAAUAAGCGGAGGAAAAGAAACCAACAGGGAUUGCCCUAGUAACGGCGAAGUGAAGCGGCAACAGCUCAAAUUUGAAAUCUGGCUCCUUUGGGGUCCGAGUUGUAAUUUGCAGAGGGUGCUUUGGCGUUGGCGGCGGUCUAAGUUCCUUGGAACAGGACAUCACAGAGGGUGAGAAUCCCGUACGUGGUCGCCUGCCUUCGCCGUGUAAAGCCCCUUCGACGAGUCGAGUUGUUUGGGAAUGCAGCUCUAAAUGGGAGGUAAAUUUCUUCUAAAGCUAAAUACCGGCCAGAGACCGAUAGCGCACAAGUAGAGUGAUCGAAAGAUGAAAAGCACUUUGGAAAGAGAGUCAAACAGCACGUGAAAUUGUUAAAAGGGAAGCGCUUGCAGCCAGACUUGCCUGUAGUUGCUCACCCGGGCUUUUGCCCGGGGCACUCUUCUGCAGGCAGGCCAGCAUCAGUUUGGGCGGUCGGACAAAGGCCUCUGACACGUACUUCCUCUCGGGGAUGACAUAUAGGGGAGGCGUAAUGCGACCAGCCUGGACUGAGGUCCGCGCAUCUGCUAGGAUGCUGGCGUAAUGGCUGUAAGCGGCCCGUCUUGAAACACGGACCAAGGAGUCUAACAUCUAUGCGAGUGUUUGGGUGUCAAGCCCGAGCGCGUAAUGAAAGUGAACGGAGGUGGGAACCCCUCGGGGCGCACCAUCGACCGAUCCUGAUGUCUUCGGAUGGAUUUGAGUAAGAGCAUAGCUGUUGGGACCCGAAAGAUGGUGAACUAUGCUUGAAUAGGGUGAAGCCAGAGGAAACUCUGGUGGAGGCUCGCAGCGGUUCUGACGUGCAAAUCGAUCGUCAAAUUUGGGGCAUAGGGGCGAAAGACUAAUCGAACUAUCUAGUAGCUGGUUCCUGCCGA
This 910-nucleotide ribosomal RNA is filed under the name Niesslia mucida. RNAcentral's name for it is "partial large subunit ribosomal RNA". It matches the Rfam family "Eukaryotic large subunit ribosomal RNA", at positions 38 to 964 of the family's 3401-position model. The record is from RNAcentral. Lineage: Eukaryota; Fungi; Ascomycota; Sordariomycetes; Hypocreales; Niessliaceae.